RNAcentral lists this ribosomal RNA (250 nucleotides) under uncultured Actinomycetales bacterium. Its description in RNAcentral is "partial 16S ribosomal RNA". It matches the Rfam family "Bacterial small subunit ribosomal RNA", at positions 81 to 334 of the family's 1533-position model. The record is from RNAcentral. Lineage: Bacteria; Bacillati; Actinomycetota; Actinomycetes; Actinomycetales.
CGGUAGGUACUCGAGUGGCGAACGGGUGAGUAACACGUGGGUGAUCUGCCCUGCACUCUGGGAUAAGCCUGGGAAACUGGGUCUAAUACCGGAUAGGACCGCACUUUAGUGUGUGUGGUGGAAAGUUUUUUUGGUGUAGGAUGAGCCCGCGGCCUAUCAGCUUGUUGGUGGGGUAAUGGCCUACCAAGGCGGCGACGGGUAGCCGGACUGAGAGGUUGGUCGGCCACAUUGGGACUGAGAUACGGCCCAG